GAUGAACGCUGGCGGCGUGCCUAAUACAUGCAAGUCGGGCGAACGGACGAGAAGCUUGCUUCUCUGAUGUUAGCGGCGGACGGGUGAGUAACACGUGGAUAACCUACCUAUAAGACUGGGAUAACUUCGGGAAACCGGAGCUAAUACCGGAUGAUAUUUUGAACCGCAUGGUUCAAAAGUGAAAGACGGUCUUGCUGUCACUUAUAGAUGGAUCCGCGCUGCAUUAGCUAGUUGGUAAGGUAACGGCUUACCAAGGCAACGAUGCAUAGACGACCUGAGAGGGUGAUCGGCCACACUGGAACUGAGACACGGUCCAGACUCCUACGGGAGGCAGCAGUAGGGAAUCUUCCGCAAUGGGCGAAAGCCUGACGGAGCAACGCCGCGUGAGUGAUGAAGGUCUUCGGAUCGUAAAACUCUGUUAUUAGGGAAGAACAUAUGUGUAAGUAACUGUGCACAUCUUGACGGUACCUAAUCAGAAAGCCACGGCUAACUACGUG
Molecule: ribosomal RNA, 497 nt
Filed under: uncultured bacterium
Lineage: Bacteria
Description: partial 16S ribosomal RNA
Rfam family: Bacterial small subunit ribosomal RNA
Source: RNAcentral